Molecule: small nuclear RNA, 89 nt
Organism: Mirounga angustirostris (Northern elephant seal)
Lineage: Eukaryota; Metazoa; Chordata; Mammalia; Carnivora; Phocidae
Product: U11 spliceosomal RNA
Exons: 1
Source: RefSeq, a predicted model, not a curated record
AAAAAGGGCUUCUGUCGUGAGUGGCACACGUAGGGCAGCUCCAUUGCUCUUCGUGCGGAAUCGACAUCAAGAGAUUUUGGAAGCCUCUU